AUUUUAAAAUUGGUGUAGAACUGAAAGAGUGGCACAUCCAUCUCUACACACCCCAUUGUCAGAGGUAGACCCAGUGUUUCAAUUAGACAGUAACUCACACAC
Long non-coding RNA from Haliotis rubra (blacklip abalone), 102 nucleotides. RefSeq lists it as uncharacterized. The record is from RefSeq and is a predicted model, not a curated record. The transcript has 4 exons. Lineage: Eukaryota; Metazoa; Mollusca; Gastropoda; Lepetellida; Haliotidae.